GCCUGGUUAGUUCAGUUGGUAGAACAUGAGACUCUUUAUUUCAGGGUUGUGGGUUCGUGCCCCAUGUUGGGUG
Molecule: transfer RNA, 73 nt
Filed under: Neotoma lepida (desert woodrat)
Lineage: Eukaryota; Metazoa; Chordata; Mammalia; Rodentia; Cricetidae
Rfam family: tRNA
About the family: Transfer RNA (tRNA) molecules are approximately 80 nucleotides in length.
Source: Rfam by way of RNAcentral